AGGUCUUGUUUCGUCGAAGGCAAUGACUGCUGACAAUGAUGAUAUUUCUGAGGAUCCUUAAGGUCUUGUUUUGUCGAAGGCAAUGACUGCUGACAAAGAUGAUAUUUCUCAGGGUCCUUAAGGUCUUGUUUUGUCGAAGGCAAUGACUGCUGAAGAAGAUGAUAUGUGUCAGGAUCCUUAAGGUCUUGUUUCGUCGAAGGCAAUAACUGCUGACGGAGAUGAUAUUUCUGAGGAUCCUUAAGGUCUUGUUUUGUCGAAGGCAAUGACUGCUGACGAUUACCAAAAACCUUCCGGAAUAAAUGAUAUACUUUCUUAAGGGCCGAGAAAAAGAAACCAAACAUGUUUACUUCUUCUUUGCUCUUGACUACUUGAAUCCUUGUAGUUG
This 385-nucleotide long non-coding RNA is filed under the name Daucus carota (carrot). RNAcentral's name for it is "long non-coding RNA (DCAR_LNC004688)". The record is from RNAcentral. Lineage: Eukaryota; Viridiplantae; Streptophyta; Magnoliopsida; Apiales; Apiaceae.